CACGGGGGGAACGCGAAGAACCUUACCUGGACUAGAAUGUGAGGGAAUGUCGGGUAAUGCCGGCAGUCCGGGAAACCGGACCCAAAACAAGGUGCUGCAUGGCUGUCGUCAGCUCGCGUCGUGAGAUGUUGGGUUAAGUCCCGCAACGAGCGCAACCCUUAUCAACAGUUGCCAUCAUUAAGUUGGGAACUCUAAGGGGACCGCCGGUGACAAACCGGAGGAAGGUGGGGAUGACGUCAAGUCAUCAUGGCCCUUAUGACCAGGGCUACACACGUGCUACAAUGGUCGGUACAGAGGGUUGCCAACCCGCGAGGGGGAGCUAAUCCCUUAAAGCCGAUCGUAGUCCGGAUCGCAGUCUGCAACUCGACUGCGUGAAGUCGGAAUCGCUAGUAAUCGCGAAUCAGCCAUGUCGCGGUGAAUACGUUCCCGGGUCUUGUACACACGC
RNAcentral lists this ribosomal RNA (445 nucleotides) under uncultured soil bacterium. RNAcentral's name for it is "bacterial SSU rRNA". It matches the Rfam family "Bacterial small subunit ribosomal RNA", at positions 950 to 1393 of the family's 1533-position model. The record is from RNAcentral.